AGAUAAGGAGCUUGCUCCUUUGACGUUAGCGGCGGACGGGUGAGUAACACGUGGAUAACCUACCUAUAAGACUGGGAUAACUUCGGGAAACCGGAGCUAAUACCGGAUAACAUAUUGAACCGCAUGGUUCAAUAGUGAAAGGCGGCUUUGCUGUCACUUAUAGAUGGAUCCGCGCCGUAUUAGCUAGUUGGUAAGGUAACGGCUUACCAAGGCAACGAUACGUAGCCGACCUGAGAGGGUGAUCGGCCACACUGGAACUGAGACACGGUCCAGACUCCUACGGGAGGCAGCAGUAGGGAAUCUUCCGCAAUGGGCGAAAGCCUGACGGAGCAACGCCGCGUGAGUGAUGAAGGUCUUCGGAUCGUAAAACUCUGUUAUCAGGGAAGAACAAAUGUGUAAGUAACUGUGCACAUCUUGACGGUACCUGAUCAGAAAGCCACGGCUAACUACGUGC
RNAcentral lists this ribosomal RNA (454 nucleotides) under Staphylococcus sp. RNAcentral describes it as "bacterial SSU rRNA". It matches the Rfam family "Bacterial small subunit ribosomal RNA", at positions 69 to 508 of the family's 1533-position model. Lineage: Bacteria; Bacillati; Bacillota; Bacilli; Caryophanales; Staphylococcaceae. The record is from RNAcentral.